CGAUACAGGGUGACAGCCCCGUACACAAAAAUGCACAUACUGUGAGCUCGAUGAGUAGGGCGGGACACGUGGUAUCCUGUCUGAAUAUGGGGGGACCAUCCUCCAAGGCUAAAUACUCCUGACUGACCGAUAGUGAACCAGUACCGUGAGGGAAAGGCGAAAAGAACCCCGGCGAGGGGAGUGAAAAAGAACCUGAAACCGUGUACGUACAAGCAGUGGGAGCACAGAGCAAUCUGUGUGACUGCGUACCUUUUGUAUAAUGGGUCAGCGACUUAUAUUCUGUAGCAAGGUUAACCGAAUAGGGGAGCCGAAGGGAAACCGAGUCUUAACUGGGCGUUAAGUUGCAGGGUAUAGACCCGAAACCCGGUGAUCUAGCCAUGGGCAGGUUGAAGGUUGGGUAACACUAACUGGAGGACCGAACCGACUAAUGUUGAAAAAUUAGCGGAUGACUUGUGGCUGGGGGUGAAAGGCCAAUCAAACCGGGAGAUAGCUGGUUCUCCCCGAAAGCUAUUUAGGUAGCGCCUCGUGAAUUCAUCUCCGGGGGUAGAGCACUGUUUCGGCAAGGGGGUCAUCCCGACUUACCAACCCGAUGCAAACUGCGAAUACCGGAGAAUGUUAUCACGGGAGACACACGGCGGGUGCUAACGUCCGUCGUGAAGAGGGAAACAACCCAGACCGCCAGCUAAGGUCCCAAAGUCAUGGUUAAGUGGGAAACGAUGUGGGAAGGCCCAGACAGCCAGGAUGUUGGCUUAGAAGCAGCCAUCAUUUAAAGAAAGCGUAAUAGCUCACUGGUCGAGUCGGCCUGCGCGGAAGAUGUAACGGGGCUAAACCAUGCACCGAAGCUGCGGCAGCGACGCUGAUGCGUUGUUGGGUAGGGGAGCGUUCUGUAAGCCUGUGAAGGUGUGCUGUGAGGCAUGCUGGAGGUAUCAGAAGUGCGAAUGCUGACAUAAGUAACGAUAAAGCGGGUGAAAAGCCCGCUCGCCGGAAGACCAAGGGUUCCUGUCCAACGUUAAUCGGGGCAGGGUGAGUCGACCCCUAAGGCGAGGCCGAAAGGCGUAGUCGAUGGGAAACAGGUUAAUAUUCCUGUACUUGGUGUUACUGCGAAGGGGGGACGGAGAAGGCUAUGUUGGCCGGGCGACGGUUGUCCCGGUUUAAGCGUGUAGGCUGGUUUUCCAGGAAAAUCCGGAAAAUCAAGGCUGAGGCGUGAUGACGAGGCACUACGGUGCUGAAGCAACAAAUGCCCUGCUUCCAGGAAAAGCCUCUAAGCAUCAGGUAACAUCAAAUCGUACCCCAAACCGACACAGGUGGUCAGGUAGAGAAUACCAAGGCGCUUGAGAGAACUCGGGUGAAGGAACUAGGCAAAAUGGUGCCGUAACUUCGGGAGAAGGCACGCUGAUAUGUAGGUGAAGUCCCUCGCGGAUGGAGCUGAAAUCAGUCGAAGAUACCAGCUGGCUGCAACUGUUUAUUAAAAACACAGCACUGUGCAAACACGAAAGUGGACGUAUACGGUGUGACGCCUGCCCGGUGCCGGAAGGUUAAUUGAUGGGGUCAGCGCAAGCGAAGCUCUUGAUCGAAGCCCCGGUAAACGGCGGCCGUAACUAUAACGGUCCUAAGGUAGCGAAAUUCCUUGUCGGGUAAGUUCCGACCUGCACGAAUGGCGUAAUGAUGGCCAGGCUGUCUCCACCCGAGACUCAGUGAAAUUGAACUCGCUGUGAAGAUGCAGUGUACCCGCGGCAAGACGGAAAGACCCCGUGAACCUUUACUAUAGCUUGACACUGAACAUUGAGCCUUGAUGUGUAGGAUAGGUGGGAGGCUUUGAAGUGUGG
This 1826-nucleotide ribosomal RNA is filed under the name Escherichia coli. Its description in RNAcentral is "partial 23S ribosomal RNA". It matches the Rfam family "Bacterial large subunit ribosomal RNA", at positions 354 to 2167 of the family's 2925-position model. Lineage: Bacteria; Pseudomonadati; Pseudomonadota; Gammaproteobacteria; Enterobacterales; Enterobacteriaceae. The record is from RNAcentral.